UGGGGAAUAUUGGACAAUGGGCGCAAGCCUGAUCCAGCCAUGCCGCGUGAGUGAUGACGGCCUUAGGGUUGUAAAGCUCUUUCGGCGGGGACGAUAAUGACGGUACCCGCAGAAGAAGACCCGGCUCACUUCGUUCCAGCAGCCCCGGGAAUACGUAGGGGGCUCACGUUGCUGGGAUACAUUGGGCGCAAAGCGGACGAGGGCGGCCUGCUUAGUAAGCGGGGGCAACCCGGGGCUGAACCCCGGACA
RNAcentral lists this ribosomal RNA (249 nucleotides) under uncultured organism. Its description in RNAcentral is "partial 16S ribosomal RNA". It matches the Rfam family "Bacterial small subunit ribosomal RNA", at positions 355 to 621 of the family's 1533-position model. The record is from RNAcentral.